CACACUAGAACGGAUCCGACGUCAGGGACGAAGCCUAGGGGCACGAACCGGAUUAGAUACCCGGGUAGUCCUAGGUGUAAACGCUGUGGACUUGGUGUUGGGGACUCUCCGAGAUUCCUCAGUGCCGAAGCGAAGGUGAUAAGUCCACUGCCUGGGGAGUACGGUCGCAAGGCUGAAACUUAAAGGAAUUGGCGGGGGAGCACCGCAACCUGAGGAUUGUGCGGUUUAAUUGGAUUCAACGCCGGAAAACUCACCAGUGCCGACGGACAAAUGAAAGCCAGUGUGAUGAGCUUGCUGGAUUGUUCGAGAGGUAGUGCAUGGCCGCCGUCAGUUCGUACCGUAAGGCGUUCUGUUAAGUCAGAUAACGAACGAGACCCUCAUCCCUAUUUGCUAAGGUCAGUCCGCUGAUCACAGGACUAUAGGGAGACCGCUGGCGCGAAGUCAGAGGAAGGCGAGGGCAACGGUAGGUCAGUAUGCUCCGAAUGCACUGGGCUACACGCGCAAUACAAAGGACGGGACAAUGGGCCGCUGCGCCGAGAGGCAUGUGGCUAUCCCGAAACCCGUUCGUAGUUCGGAUUGAGGGCUGUAACUCGCCCUCAUGAAGCUGGAUUAGGUAGUAAUCGCGUCUCAAAAAGGCGCGGUGAAUAUGCCCCUGCUCCUUGCACA
RNAcentral lists this ribosomal RNA (666 nucleotides) under uncultured marine bacterium. RNAcentral describes it as "bacterial SSU rRNA". It matches the Rfam family "Archaeal small subunit ribosomal RNA", at positions 676 to 1343 of the family's 1478-position model. The record is from RNAcentral.